Molecule: non-coding RNA, 21 nt
Filed under: Caenorhabditis elegans
Lineage: Eukaryota; Metazoa; Nematoda; Chromadorea; Rhabditida; Rhabditidae
Source: RNAcentral
UAAACUUAGACUCAAAUAUCU